Molecule: ribosomal RNA, 253 nt
Filed under: uncultured bacterium
Lineage: Bacteria
Description: partial 16S ribosomal RNA
Rfam family: Bacterial small subunit ribosomal RNA
Source: RNAcentral
UACAGAGGGGGCAAGCGUUGUUCGGAAUUACUGGGCGUAAAGGGCGCGUAGGCGGCCUGUUAAGUCGAACGUGAAAUCCCCGGGCUCAACCCGGGAACUGCGUCCGAAACUGGCAGGCUUGAAUUCGGGAGAGGGAUGCGGAAUUCCAGGUGUAGCGGUGAAAUGCGUAGAUAUCUGGAGGAACAUCGGUGGCGAAGGCGGCAUCCUGGACCGAUAUUGACGCUGAGGCGCGAAAGCCAGGGGAGCAAACGGG